Colius striatus (speckled mousebird) is the source of this 2405-nucleotide long non-coding RNA. RefSeq lists it as uncharacterized. NCBI's taxonomy places the organism in Eukaryota, Metazoa, Chordata, Aves, Coliiformes, Coliidae. The transcript has 2 exons. The record is from RefSeq and is a predicted model, not a curated record.
CGGGGCCUGUGCGUGAGGCGUCGGCCGCGGGGCGGCUCGGGCCCGGAGAGGCGCGGUGUUGACGAGACGCUGCUCCCGGGAGUCACUCGCGGAAUGCAGGGGGCGGGGAAGGGGUGGUGGAGCUGGAGCUGAAGCUGUAGCCAGGCCCGGUUGGGGUGGAGGGCGUGGAGGACUCGCUGCAGUGCAAGGUUGUGCAGCUCCUGCGCUGUCCCCAGAGGAAGCUGCCCCACGGGGCUCCUCUGCCGUACACUGAAGGCACCUGAGAGCCCUCAGCCCUGGGACAGGUCGCUUCCUCCCCACAGGCCACGUUUGUUCUGCCUGGUUUGGUGGGUUUUUUCCCUCUGAUCCUCUCAAGUGCUGGUUGUUUAAUACCCAGAAGAUCUUGUGCUGGUUCUGUUUACAGGGUCUCUUCUAAGCAACCAGAUGUUUGGUUCUCCAAAGGAUGGCUGAACCUCCUGCCUUUGUCCUGCUGUGCUUGUGGAAGCAGUAGAGGUAAGUGCAGUGUGCUUGGCUGUACUGUGCAGGCAAACAGCCACACGAGGCUCAGCUCCUGUGCCUGAGGCAAGGCCACUGGUGCCUGUCCUCCUGUCCAGCUGCAGCAGCACCUCAGGCCUCUGUGAUGAGGGGACUGGAACAUCUGUUUUAUGAGGAAAAGCUGAGAGACCUGGGACUGUUCAGCCUGGAGAAGGCUGAGAAGGGACCUUAGCAAUGCUGAUCAAUACCUAAAGGGUGGGUAUCAGGAGCAUCACAGAUGCAGUGCCACAGCCUCUUCCAUGUCAUCCAGGGACACCAAACACUGCAGUGUCCCCUGGGGAAAGAUCCUAUUCCUGGAGCAGGUCCUCACAGCACGUACCAGCUGGGGACACGUGCGUGGCUCCCUGCCCAGAGCAGGUGCCAAGGUGCCCUGGUGUGGGUGGCAGCCGCUGCAUCACUGCAGGCCUCUGUGUUUGCUGAGGAUGGGGAACCCUUGAGGCAGCAGCUCUAUGGUGACCUCAGCAGUAAUUGCUCUGGCUUUUAACCCUGCUCUCCCAGGAGUAUGGCCCAUAACUGUGAUUGCUUCCUUGGCAUUUGCAAUUUGAGUCACAUCUCUGGCAGCCUAAGGAUUGUCUGCAUGGGCUGAGGAUGCCAGAGGUCCCCCAGGAAGGAAGAUCUCGUUGCUGGGCUCAGCAGUGAUGAAGGAGUGGCUCAGGAGCACGUGUCCAGCUUCACUGUUAAAUAACAGCAUGAGGGAGAUUUAUCCUGAGCCUGUUAAGCUGGUCCUGUGUUCUGCUUAGGCUUAGUCUUUUUAUCUCUGCCCAUCUUCCUCUUCCAUAAGACCUACUAAACUAGUCACAAUAAAAGGAGGUGGGUUUUUUUGUCCUCUCUUCCAUUAAGCUUCUUGUCAUACUUCACUGAAAAUGCUGCAAGGAAGUGUGUGCCUCUUCGGUGCCUCCCAGUGAGGGGAUGAGAGGAGAAACAUGGUUUUUUUCAUUUCCUAAAUAUAGCUGCCUGUAACUGCUGCCUUGACAGCCUUGAAUGUCAUCCAGGUCAAAGAUCCAGCGCUGGAGAGGAAGUUAAAUCCUUUCUGUGUCAUCCUGACCUUUUUCUGUUUGAACACAACAGCAUGGCACAUCAGUCUGUUUCAGGGAGGGACAUGAAAAGUUCUGGGUGAAAGCAAGCUCACAGCAGGAGGAGCAGAGGGGGGAUUUCAGCUGGGUGGUGUUCUGCUGUUUUCUAGCUGAGACUUCUGCCAUGUGGAUGUUUCACUGGCUUGCUUUUGUUACCCUGAGAUGGCUUUUGCUCCUUGCAACUUAAUUGCAGUAAUUAAGAGGGAAAAAUCCAACCUAAAACUACCUGUGUUUAAUUGUUGAGGACCUUUUUCCUUCACUAAAGGCUGUGAGCUCUCAAAUCCUAAAAUAAAACAAACACUGGUGCUGAAGGAAGGAGAACAUUGCAUGAGGGCAGAGAAACUGGGCCACUUGGGGAAUAUGCUUUCAGGCCUAUUUCUGUCACAGCAAGCUAAAAGGACACCAACUUUGGGGAAAGAGCUCUUUUGGCCCUUUGGUCCUUGCUCUGUUACUCCUUCCCCAUCUAAGUCAGGAGAUGUGUGUGAACAGCUCAUAUGCUUCUGCAGCCUGUGGGGAACCAUGUUCAUCUCACUACUUCAGCUCUAUAGCAACUGUCUCAUGAUGGCAGGAACCAUGAUGUCAGCCAUAAGGGCAAAAAUACCUGGUCUGUGUUACUGUGGGUGCAGCUCUCUGCUGAUUCAGCUCCCAUCAGGAUGGAAAGAUGGGAAUCUAUUUUUAAUAGAUGAGGCAAUGUGUGAUUUAUCACUACUACAGUCACAUAUCAGGGCAAAUCCUGUGUGACCUGUCCAGUGCCAACAUCAGAGAGGCCAAGAGAAUAAAACUUUAGAAGAAGUGUGA